UCCAGGGUGUUGUGUGCAUGUGCUCA
This 26-nucleotide non-coding RNA is filed under the name Homo sapiens (human). Lineage: Eukaryota; Metazoa; Chordata; Mammalia; Primates; Hominidae. The record is from RNAcentral.